UGGGAAUAUUGCACAAUGGGCGCAAGCCUGAUGCAGCGACGCCGCGUGGGGGAUGACGGCCUUCGGGUUGUAAACCUCUUUCAGCAGGGACGAAGCGAAAGUGACGGUACCUGCAGAAGAAGCACCGGCCAACUACGUGCCAGCAGCCGCGGUAAUACGUAGGGUGCGAGCGUUGUCCGGAAUUACUGGGCGUAAAGAGCUCGUAGGUGGUUUGUCGCGUUGUUCGUGAAAAAGCCCGGGGGGCUUUAAACCCCUCGGGCAGUGGCGGGCGAUACGGGCAGACUAGGAGUACUGCAGGGGAGACUGGAAUUCCUGGUGUAGCGGUGGAAUGCGCAGAUAUCAGGAGGAACACCGGUGGCGAAGGCGGGUCUCUGGGCAGUAACUGACGCUGAGGAGCGAAAGCGUGGGGAGCGAACAGGAUUAGAUA
This 427-nucleotide ribosomal RNA is filed under the name uncultured bacterium. RNAcentral describes it as "partial 16S ribosomal RNA". It matches the Rfam family "Bacterial small subunit ribosomal RNA", at positions 356 to 784 of the family's 1533-position model. The record is from RNAcentral.